RNAcentral lists this ribosomal RNA (550 nucleotides) under uncultured bacterium. RNAcentral's name for it is "bacterial SSU rRNA". It matches the Rfam family "Bacterial small subunit ribosomal RNA", at positions 355 to 896 of the family's 1533-position model. The record is from RNAcentral.
UAGGGAAUCUUCGGCAAUGGGGGCAACCCUGACCGAGCAACGCCGCGUGAGUGAAGAAGGUUUUCGGAUCGUAAAGCUCUGUUGUAAGUCAAGAACGAGUGUGAGAGUGGAAAGUUCACACUGUGACGGUAGCUUACCAGAAAGGGACGACUAACUACGUGCCAGCAGCCGCGGUAAUACGUAGGUCCCGAGCGUUGUCCGGAUUUAUUGGGCGUAAAGCGAGCGCAGGCGGUUUGAUAAGUCUGAAGUUAAAGGCUGUGGCUCAACCAUAGUUCGCUUUGGAAACUGUCAAACUUGAGUGCAGAAGGGGAGAGUGGAAUUCCAUGUGUAGCGGUGAAAUGCGUAGAUAUAUGGAGGAACACCGGUGGCGAAAGCGGCUCUCUGGUCUGUAACUGACGCUGAGGCUCGAAAGCGUGGGGAGCGAACAGGAUUAGAUACCCUGGUAGUCCACGCCGUAAACGAUGAGUGCUAGGUGUUGGAUCCUUUCCGGGAUUCAGUGCCGCAGCUAACGCAUUAAGCACUCCGCCUGGGGAGUACGACCGCAAGGUUG